RNAcentral lists this long non-coding RNA (822 nucleotides) under Toxoplasma gondii VEG. Lineage: Eukaryota; Apicomplexa; Conoidasida; Eucoccidiorida; Sarcocystidae. The record is from RNAcentral.
UUGGUGCAGAAAACGUAGUCGGUGACGAAAGGAAGUCUACAUGUGCGAGUCUCUUUCGACUUUCUGCUUGUCCUGUGCACAUGUUCCUUUUCGAGAGAGGCACACAAAGGCUAUAUAUGGCCUGAGGGGAAACAGAGGAGUCGCGGCGGCGUUAAGCUCAAGAUUUUUUCGUUGGAGUGUCGAACGACAAUUUGCACGUUCGUAAAAUCUCCGAAGGAGCGUUGUUCGUCCUGCUGAAAAGCAAAGGACUUCUAGGAAAGGGGUGAGAACCGCAAACAGAACAUCACACGGGAGGUUUCACACCGUGCGUCUGUUGACACGACGCGGUCGACCAGCAAGCAUGCAGCCUGCAAAUACUGUUCCUCUUUCAAAAAGUGUUGACCUUCCUCCAUUUCAUGUUUGAAGCCAGCAUGUUUUGGCCUGCGGGAGCCAACAGGAGAAGCCGGCGGUGUCCAGCUUUUCUGGAGCGUAGUUCCCUGCUGGCUUAAUGCAAUGGCAACAGGGAAAGAGGCAACAUCACCUCGUCCUGCAGAGUGUGACACAAAUCGUGAUGGGCUCGAGACUGUCUGCAGCGUUUUCGGUGCUAACCAUGUUGAACGGAUAUAAGCGCCAGAAACGUAACUGUUAUUGGAACUCUUUUUUUCACGGAGGUUUAACGAGAGUAAAAUCGACCUGUCACGGUCCAGUGUUUUUGCUGAUGCUUACACUUAGCGUUGGUGUGUGGAGAACUAUUGCAUGAUAUCACCGGGGUCGAGGACACUCUGCCGCCGCAACUUUAGACGAAGAGAAUUCUGAGUCCUUCCCCAUAACUCGACAGGUUCG